GUCUAACCUGCCCACUGAAAAUUUAAAUGGCCGCAGUAUUUUAACUGUGCAAAGGUAGCAUAAUCAUUAGUCUUUUAAUUGAGGGCUGGAAUGAAUGGUUGAAUGAGAUAUUAACUGUUUCAAUAUAAUUUUUAGAAUUUUAUAUUUUAGUGAAAAAGCUAAAAUUUUUUUAAAAGACGAGAAGACCCUAUAAAUCUUUAUAUUUUUUGAUUUAUAUAUAUAAAGAUAAUUUUAUUUAUAAAUUUAAAAAUUAUUUUAUUGGGGUGAUAUUAAAAUUUAAUAAACUUUUAAUGUAUAAUGUCCACUAAUGAGUGAAUUAUUGAUCCAUAAUUAAUGAUUAAAAAAUUAAGUUACUUUAGGGAUAACAGCGUAAUUUUUUUGGAGAGUUCUUAUUAAUAAAAAAGAUUGCGACCUCGAUGUUGGAUUAAGAUAUAAAUUUAGGUGUAGUGGCUUAUAUUUU
Molecule: ribosomal RNA, 460 nt
Filed under: Phora capillosa
Lineage: Eukaryota; Metazoa; Arthropoda; Insecta; Diptera; Phoridae
Description: partial 16S ribosomal RNA
Rfam family: Archaeal large subunit ribosomal RNA (bases 1-163)
Source: RNAcentral